AGCAUAGCAACAGCAGCGUAGCUGAACAUCUUACGGAUGGCCCAGGGCUCCAAAGGCUCGUUUCCUAAGUGAGAGAGAGCCUGGCUGAAGCUGUAUUACCAUUCAUUCUCCAGCCUCCGAAGUCUCAAAGCAUCACUUCCACCAUACUCUAACUGUCAAGACAAACACAAAGGCCCAGAAACUGCCAGACUGUCUUCUGAAGUGGCUAUAAUAUUUACACUCCCAUCAGCAGUGUAGAAGGGGUCUCACUAUGUUGUCUGGAGUGCUGUGGUGGAGUGGAGUGGCUAUUCACAGGAUUCUUGGAAUGGACUGUAAAAGUCUGGAAUCAAGACUUUGUGUUUCCUCUCUAACAUGUAAAGAGCUUAGAAGUUGUCGCUAUUGCCCUUACAACAAAAUGAAGCUGGACAAACUGAAAAUCAAUGACUUUUCUUGGACUCACUAUACAGCUGAGUUUGCAGAGUAAACCACUACCCUGAAAUCUGGAAAGGCAGGUGCACCCACAGAUCCUCAGCUGAGAUCCAAUUACCUGAAAUAGAAGCUGCCAUUAGGAACACUUAAAAGAGCCUGUUCUGCUGGGACACAGAAUCACUUGCUCCAUCUCAUACAUUGAUGAUGAUUAAUUUGUAUGUGUACCUUCCAAAAAAGAUGGUUGUGUUUGAAUGGAGGCCUUCUGGACAGGAAAAUAUGGAGAGUGCGUGCUUUGGAUUCAAGACUGGGAAUGAGGGGACCAGAAACCUAUUCUGUGGCUGUUUCUUGUUAGGACUUUCCUAAGCCUCUGGAAAAGUGCAAAGUACAAUUAACAUUUGAGUCUGUCUGAGUCAUGAAGAAAUGGAGAUUACUGAAAAUAAUUCAUUUUGGUAUCUUCUUACAUCCUGAGAGACUAAUCUUUCCAAGUUCAUCUGAGGCUCCUCUUCUCCAUGACAACCUCAUCCAGGGAUUUCUUCCUGUCCUGGUGUUUUAUGACAUAAUCACAUCCUUCCUGAGAUAAUGAGCACACAAUUGCCUGGAUACCUGAAGGAAUGGAGACAGCGGCAGAAAACACUGCAGAGAGGUGGAAACAUCCGUUAAUAUUUUAAAAUCCCAUUACUGCUACCAACAAUAAUAAUGGAUGCAUAGAAAUAGAUCUGGAUUAGCUGAGCUUGAAACAGUCCAUCUCACACACACACAAAAGAAUUUCAGAUACAGUGAACCCACAUGUUGAAGCUUUCUAGUAUAAUAAAAAUUUCAACUGUUCUGUUGAAUCAUCUGCCUGAUUGGAGGCUACAGAAAAGAUGUCAUCUUAGGAGUGCUUGCUCUGAGUGAGGCUCAUCUUCAAAUCUGAAUGACCACAAGGAGAUUUGAUUAUACAUGUGAACACCUCAGAAGGCACAGCCCACCCAGAAGGCAGACAGGUCAGGCUGCUUUUUCUUCAUUGCUUGGAUUCAAUCCUCCGGGCGGCUCAGGCUCAAACAUAACUUAAGCAUGAUUAAACUUUAGAAGAAGCUGCCAGGAAGACUGUGAAAUCUUCAUGCCCAAGGAUCCCUAAAAUUAGGAGCAACAACCACUUGGCUCAGACGGUUUAUGGAGGCAAAGGUUUGGAUGGGAUUAGAGAUUUCUAAAUGUGAGUUCGUGUCCUCUGCCAGACCACCUUACUUCCACCAUUCCUCAGCAAAUCAAGAAAAACAGGAGAAAAGACAUGCCUUUCCAUAAGUUAAAUCUAUUCUGUUUUAAUUCUAUAUUAUAUCUGCUGUACAACUUCUUUUGUUUGUAACACCAUAUUGUUGCUAGUAACUGGAAAUUAAUUUUCACAUGCCUCAGCUUAGAAAAAUAAAAAGCAGCCCUGCAUCAA
This 1828-nucleotide long non-coding RNA is filed under the name Homo sapiens (human). RNAcentral's name for it is "long intergenic non-protein coding RNA 635". Lineage: Eukaryota; Metazoa; Chordata; Mammalia; Primates; Hominidae. The record is from RNAcentral.